Molecule: long non-coding RNA, 1174 nt
Filed under: Hordeum vulgare
Lineage: Eukaryota; Viridiplantae; Streptophyta; Magnoliopsida; Poales; Poaceae
Description: long non-coding RNA (HVUL_LNC005752)
Source: RNAcentral
UUAGUUCUGAAAUCUUGAAAAUCCAAGAGUAUAGACAUGACUGUCUACUGAUGCUUUACAUCAACAAAAGUACAUACUUAAUAGCUGAUGUUACACAUCAAUGUCAAUCAUUUGUUUCACUUUCUAACAGUUUCACAUACUUAAUACUGGUAACUUAGGAUUACUAGUUGACUGAUAGAAAUUGUUUGACCACUGCCAAUCUGGUUGUUAUUGUUGUUCUUCUAAAUUAUCCGCCAUUUGAUGCUGCUCCUGUUGUACAUGACCCUCUGGGACUUGCUGUUGCCCCAGUUCUGGCACUUGAUGCAUCUCCUCUCCCUCUGAAUAAACGUCACAGUUACCUUCCCCUAUAUAUGCUGCAUAUUCUUCCUCCUAGUCACUACCUUGUUGUUCUAGAAAAUCAUCAGGAAUGUUAGCAUAAAUGUCCAUGACCCCGCAUCAGUGAUAUGUCUGGCCAUCUCCAGGACAAAUUUUUGAUCAUGCAACAUCACCAGAGCACUACUCAUUUGGUCAUGUCUAAUCACCCUAGGGAACUUCCAAUGCAAAUUGGUUUCCUGCAGUUGCUUUUCUGAACAAAGCACAUUCUCUGCAAGUUUUUUCUUAACUCUUCAAGGCUAAUCUUGUGGAGCUAGACUGUUGAAAGGCCUUGUCUUCCAUUCACAUACUGCCACUCUGUUCCAUCAUGUUCAAACCGUCUUCUGAAAUGAAACCUGAUGCACAGAUAGUCCAGUGGAUCCAUGGCUCAAACGUAUGGAAAAAAAUAACUCUGAAUCAAAAUCCCCCCUUUCAGUUCAGUUCAAACAGAACCAGCCAUAAAUCAACGAACCCUAAAUCGUGGCCUCCCAAUACGACUCCACUAACCACAUGGACCGCUGGAUGCAUGAAAACCACAGGAAAUUGACCAUUUGGGUUGAUUUUGAAAUCCCCCAAAACCCCCAAAACCCUACCUAGAACAGAGAAAUCGAGCACAUAGUCUCACACAGAAUUGGAUGCUCUUACGGAUCCGCAUGUGCCGCCUGCUCCCAAUGCUUAGUUCAUGUUGCCGAUCGCUGUCCCUCCUUUGGUCGUCAUUGUCGGGGAGAGAGAACUGAGGGGCCGGGCGGCGGAGAUGAAGAGGCUGGGUGGGUCGAAGCAGUGAAAGGAGGUGGCUGGGUCGAACCGGUUCGGGGCGCAGGGG